RNAcentral lists this unclassified non-coding RNA (823 nucleotides) under Hevea brasiliensis (rubber tree). Lineage: Eukaryota; Viridiplantae; Streptophyta; Magnoliopsida; Malpighiales; Euphorbiaceae. The record is from RNAcentral.
AAAGUUUUCCGACUUCUUAAGUUUGUCAACGAUCUGCAUGGUCUUAUUAGCCCUGUCCCUCAAGAAACUCCCCUUCCUCUUGUUUUUUUGGGAAAGUCAAAAAAUGCUUUAUUGUCAACAUUCUUAUUUCUUGAUCAAAUCGUCUGGCUUGGCAGAUCUGGCAUCUACAAGGAUAAAGAACACGCUGAGCUAAUUGGCCAGAUAUCUCUCUACUGUUGGAUGGGAUCCUCAGUCUGCUCUACCUUGGUGGAGAUUGGAGAGCUUGGAAGGCUUUCUGCAUCAAUGAAGAAGCUAGUGAAGGAGCUUAAGAACAGUGAUAAAUAUCAAAAUGAACAAUACCGUGCUAAACUUCAAAAAUCGAAUGAGAGAUCACUGGCCUUGGUCAAGGCAGCCCUGGAUAUCGUAGUUGCAGUUGGACUACUUCAAUUGGCACCCAAGAAAGUUACCCCUCGUGUAACAGGAGCCUUUGGAUUUAUUACCUCUUUAAUUUCUUGCUAUCAGUUGCUUCCAUCUGGACCAAAAGCCAAGACCACAUAAAGAUACAAGUCUGUUCUAGGUGAUAAUUAUUGGAACAAUAAAGCCUAGUCGUGUCAUUUAAAAUAUUUAUUUGAACUUAGUGAUAUAAAAUCCCUUUUGGUGUAAACUUUUGAGCUAUAUGCCUCAUUCUAGGUGACCUUGGAUGUUCCUCACUAUUUAAAGCCAACUAUUAGGCAUCUUUGUUGUCACCUUUCGUUCUGCUUAUUUGCAAUGGUAAUAUUAUAAUGAUGUCAUUUCUGGUUCGUAUUUCUAUCCAAGCUGUGGUUAUUGUUUCAAAAAAAAAAAA